GCUAUAUCACAAGAUAUUUCAAAUUCUCGAGUCAUCAAUAUGAUCACUGACCACCGUAUGAGCUGAGGAGUCCAUUUCGAUACUGAGCUGAGAUAUCUCUGAGGUCUAAUUUAUGUAUGAGCUGCUCAGCCGACUUAUCUCUUCAACGUAUGUGAUAGUUGUCUAUCCCGAAUAGAUAGAAUUUGGUGUAAUCAUCUCCCUUAAUCUCGUUGGAGUGAUUAAGGGCUGAAUUAUCUCAUUCAGUUUGGC
This 249-nucleotide long non-coding RNA is filed under the name Elaeis guineensis (African oil palm). RNAcentral's name for it is "long non-coding RNA (EGUI_LNC004396)". Lineage: Eukaryota; Viridiplantae; Streptophyta; Magnoliopsida; Arecales; Arecaceae. The record is from RNAcentral.